AUACCUUUCUCGGCCUUUUGGCUAAGAUCAAGUGUAAUAUAUGUUCUUAUCAGUUUAAUAUCUGAUAUGUGAACCCUUGUGUCCACGCGAUAUUAACUUAAUUUUUGUGGGGUAGGGCCCACCACAGUGGCUUGCUACUGGGGUCCUUUGUGUCACCUAGGCGUUGCACUACUGCCUGUUGAUUGGCACACCCCAA
Molecule: small nuclear RNA, 196 nt
Organism: Lolium rigidum
Lineage: Eukaryota; Viridiplantae; Streptophyta; Magnoliopsida; Poales; Poaceae
Product: U2 spliceosomal RNA
Exons: 1
Source: RefSeq, a predicted model, not a curated record